This 427-nucleotide ribosomal RNA is filed under the name uncultured bacterium. RNAcentral describes it as "bacterial SSU rRNA". It matches the Rfam family "Bacterial small subunit ribosomal RNA", at positions 355 to 774 of the family's 1533-position model. The record is from RNAcentral.
UGGGGAAUUUUGGACAAUGGGCGAAAGCCUGAUCCAGCAAUGCCGCGUGCAGGAUGAAGGCCUUCGGGUUGUAAACUGCUUUUGUACGGAACGAAAAAGCUUCUCCUAAUACGAGAGGCCCAUGACGGUACCGUAAGAAUAAGCACCGGCUAACUACGUGCCAGCAGCCGCGGUAAUACGUAGGGUGCGAGCGUUAAUCGGAAUUACUGGGCGUAAAGCGUGCGCAGGCGGUUAUAUAAGACAGGUGUGAAAUCCCCGGGCUCAACCUGGGAACUGCAUUUGUGACUGUAUAGCUAGAGUACGGCAGAGGGGGAUGGAAUUCCGCGUGUAGCAGUGAAAUGCGUAGAUAUGCGGAGGAACGCCGAUGGCGAAGGCGAUCCCCUGGACCUGUACUGACGCUCAUGCACGAAAGCGUGGGGAGCAAACA